GUGGGGAAUCUUGCGCAAUGGGCGAAAGCCUGACGCAGCCAUGCCGCGUGAAUGAUGAAGGUCUUAGGAUUGUAAAAUUCUUUCACCGGGGACGAUAAUGACGGUACCCGGAGAAGAAGCUCCGGCUAACUUCGUGCCAGCAGCCGCGGUAAUACGAAGGGGGCUAGCGUUGCUCGGAAUUACUGGGCGUAAAGGGCGCGUAGGCGGACAGCUUAGUCAGAGGUGAAAGCCCAGGGCUCAACCUUGGAAUUGCCUUUGAUACUGGCUGUCUUGAGUUUGGGAGAGGUGAGUGGAACUCCGAGUGUAGAGGUGAAAUUCGUAGAUAUUCGGAAGAACACCAGUGGCGAAGGCGACUCACUGGCCCAAUACUGACGCUGAGGCGCGAAAGCGUGGGGGGCAAACAGGAUUAGAUACCCGUGUAGUCC
Molecule: ribosomal RNA, 425 nt
Filed under: uncultured bacterium
Lineage: Bacteria
Description: partial 16S ribosomal RNA
Rfam family: Bacterial small subunit ribosomal RNA
Source: RNAcentral